CGCUUAACACAUGCAAGUCGAGCGAGAAGGUGUAGCAAUACACUUGUAAAGCGGCGAACGGGUGAGGAAUGCAUGGGUAACCUACCCUCGAGUGGGGAAUAACUAGCCGAAAGGUUAGCUAAUACCGCAUACGUUUCCGGGACUUCGGUUCAGGAAAGAAAGCAAUGCCGUGGGUAUUGCGCUCAUGGAUGGGCUCAUGUCCUAUCAGCUUGUUGGUGAGGUAACGGCUCACCAAGGCUUCGACGGGUAGCUGGUCUGAGAGGACGAUCAGCCACACUGGCACUGCGACACGGGCCAGACUCCUACGGGAGGCAGCAGUAAGGAAUAUUGCGCAAUGGACGACAGUCUGACGCAGCGACGCCGCGUGGGGGAUGAAGGUCUUCGGAUUGUAAACCCC
Molecule: ribosomal RNA, 397 nt
Filed under: uncultured organism
Description: bacterial SSU rRNA
Rfam family: Bacterial small subunit ribosomal RNA
Source: RNAcentral